GGGAUCCUGGUCUAGAGGUAUGAUUCUCGUUUAGGGUACGAGAGGUCCUGGGUUCGAUUCCCAGGGAUCCCC
RNAcentral lists this transfer RNA (72 nucleotides) under Chroomonas mesostigmatica CCMP1168. RNAcentral describes it as "tRNA-Pro". It matches the Rfam family "tRNA". Rfam says of the family: Transfer RNA (tRNA) molecules are approximately 80 nucleotides in length. Lineage: Eukaryota; Cryptophyceae; Pyrenomonadales; Chroomonadaceae. The record is from RNAcentral.